Long non-coding RNA from Myotis lucifugus (little brown bat), 1192 nucleotides. RefSeq lists it as uncharacterized. The transcript is spliced from 2 exons. Lineage: Eukaryota; Metazoa; Chordata; Mammalia; Chiroptera; Vespertilionidae. The record is from RefSeq and is a predicted model, not a curated record.
GGAGUCUGAAGGACAAAGGUUGAAAAGAAAUUACCCUUGGUGCUAUUAACUAAACACACGCACAGGAAGGGUUAAUAGGGCUUUUUAAAGUGGGGUAGGGGGAGAGAACAGAGAAAAUAAGAAACACAAAAUGCUAACCCAUCAAAAUAAAUGCUUAUUUUACAUUCAGGCUGUGAUUUAUUCUUGAUAUAAAAUGUCUAGACAGUUAAUAAAGUUAACUGAAAGCAGUAAGGUUGGAGGGGGAUAAAAGUCAAAUCUGAUUGAGGGGCUCAAUCUGGUUCAUAACAGUAACGUAAGGAGGAGCCUGGGAGGAUGGGUAAGCACCGCCAGGCAGUGUUCGAAACAGGCUGUUCCAAGCAGAGAGGGGAAGGUCAGUUCCAUCUAUCAGGCUGGGAACCUGACUGCGAAAGGCUCUGUGUUCUGGAAAAGGCUUCACAUUAACGGACCACACUGAAACUAAAAAGAGGCAGCUGGACAUCACUUCCCCAAGAAGUCAUAUUCCCCUCCAGUUAACAAAAGACUUUUGCCCCCACCUUCCUCUUCAACUCUUAGACUGUGGCUUUUUGAAGUUUUACACCACCACAGCCGCCCUGUUUAAGAUGCUUUUCUGAGCUACCAGGUUCGUGGAGAGCGCCUUAAUUUCUUAAGUACCACCCUACUUAAUUUCCAGUUACCAUCCAAGAAGAGAAAUGCGAGAAAGUCCAGGUGUUUUUCUGUUCCCUCCCACCUCCCAAGUUCUGCCAGGUUUUUACAGAAGCACAGGGCAGGAAGACCAAGAAUCUACCCUGGUUUAAGACCAGCCAGAAUUCCAGUGAUGGGCAGCGACCCUCUCCAGGGCAGCGGCAAGAAAGGCGUGUGUUAUGAGACAAAACAUCACCAACAGCCUCUGGUGCCAAUAAGCACAAGAACUGUUCAUUUUUCUCAAGAAAUGUGUUUUGACUAACAUCGUAAAGCCAAUUUAUCCACAAAUAUCGUUGGAGAUGUUUUGGGGAGCUCACUUCUGUGCUUAACUUGAGAAUAAAUGGCAUGAAAAUUGAACCACUGGUACUUUCUCGUCUCCUGCUGCCCUGGGAAUACUGCACAUGGUUGACUGAUAAGAUGGUUUCUGCAGGUAACAAAGAUUAUCUGUAGAAUGGCAACCAUCAUCCAAAACAAUCCAGGACCCUAGAAGUAAAACUGUUUAAGAAACUUC